Molecule: long non-coding RNA, 237 nt
Filed under: Piliocolobus tephrosceles (Ugandan red Colobus)
Lineage: Eukaryota; Metazoa; Chordata; Mammalia; Primates; Cercopithecidae
Description: lncRNA (ENSPTEG00000026289.1)
Source: RNAcentral
CCGAAUCUCUGCAAACCAAAGAUGCAUUCCCUGUCUCAUAUUAAUGCUGCAACAUAACUGAUAAGAUUUUGAGCGACUUUACGAGGACUGGCUUGAGAACACAGACUUCAGCGCAGCUGGGGACCUGGAUCCCAGCAGAACUGGCUCCCCUAGGUAAGCAAACCCUGGACUUUUCCUCCUACCCCAAAGGGAGAGGUGGGCUGGAGCUUCCUUCCUUCCACCAAAGAGUCUAGAGGG